This 254-nucleotide ribosomal RNA is filed under the name uncultured bacterium. Its description in RNAcentral is "partial 16S ribosomal RNA". It matches the Rfam family "Bacterial small subunit ribosomal RNA", at positions 524 to 776 of the family's 1533-position model. The record is from RNAcentral.
UACGGAGGAUCCAAGCGUUAUCCGGAUUUAUUGGGUUUAAAGGGUGCGUAGGCGGAAUGAUAAGUCAGUGGUGAAAGCCUGCAGCUUAACUGCAGAACUGCCAUUGAUACUGUCAAUCUUGAGUACAUUUGAUGUGGGCGGAAUGUGUCAUGUAGCGGUGAAAUGCUUAGAUAUGACACAGAACACCGAUUGCGAAGGCAGCUCACAAAACUGUAACUGACGCUGAGGCACGAAAAGCGUGGGUAUCAAACAGG